This 462-nucleotide ribosomal RNA is filed under the name uncultured bacterium. Its description in RNAcentral is "partial 16S ribosomal RNA". It matches the Rfam family "Bacterial small subunit ribosomal RNA", at positions 28 to 507 of the family's 1533-position model. The record is from RNAcentral.
GACGAACGCUGGCGGCGUGCUUAACACAUGCAAGUCGAACGGAAAGGCCCUUCGGGGUACUCGAGUGGCGAACGGGUGAGUAACACGUUGGUGAUCUGCCCUGCACUUUGGGAUAAGCCUGGGAAACUGGGUCUAAUACCGAAUAGGACCACGCGCUUCAUGGUGUGUGGUGGAAAGCUUUUGCGGUGUGGGAUGGGCCCGCGGCCUAUCAGCUUGUUGGUGGGGUAAUGGCCUACCAAGGCGACGACGGGUAGCCGGCCUGAGAGGGUGACCGGCCACACUGGGACUGAGAUACGGCCCAGACUCCUACGGGAGGCAGCAGUGGGGAAUAUUGCACAAUGGGCGCAAGCCUGAUGCAGCGACGCCGCGUGAGGGAUGACGGCCUUCGGGUUGUAAACCUCUUUCAAUAGGGACGAAGCGCAAGUGACGGUACCUAUAGAAGAAGCACCGGCCAACUACGUG